UACGAAGGGUCCAAGCGUUGUUCGGAAUCAUUGGGCGUAAAGCGCGAGCAGGCGGAUCAGCAAGUCAGGUGUGAAAUCUCGGGGCUCAACCCCGAAACUGCGCCUGAAACUGCUAGUCUAGAAUAUCGGAGGGGGCAGGGGAAUUUCACGUGUAGGGGUAAAAUCCGUAGAGAUGUGAAGGAACACCGGGGGCGAAGGCGCCUGCCUGGACGAUUAUUGACGCUGAGGCGCGAAAGCGUGGGGAGCAAACAGG
Molecule: ribosomal RNA, 253 nt
Filed under: uncultured bacterium
Lineage: Bacteria
Description: partial 16S ribosomal RNA
Rfam family: Bacterial small subunit ribosomal RNA
Source: RNAcentral